Long non-coding RNA from Zonotrichia leucophrys gambelii, 1524 nucleotides. RefSeq lists it as uncharacterized. The record is from RefSeq and is a predicted model, not a curated record. The transcript is spliced from 4 exons. NCBI's taxonomy places the organism in Eukaryota, Metazoa, Chordata, Aves, Passeriformes, Passerellidae.
AGCUUGGGAGAUACUAGAGUCCCUGUCUUCUGGACAGUGUCAUGCUCUUCUGUAUGCUGGCAGAUGCUGAUGCUUCAGAGGAAGAUGAGAAAACAAAUAAACAAAACCAGCAGGAAGCUUUUUUCUGACCCUCUCAAAUCAUGCUCUAAGUGCUACAUAUGUACUUUGCCAGCCUGUCACUGCAUCUGGAGUUGUCAGCCAUGCAAACUGGAUCUUCUGCUCCCAAAGAUUUGUGCAAGCAUGAGACCACAAACGCUCGUGUUCUUCAUUCAGGAAGCUCCACUCAUUUCUCAUUUGUUUGGCUGAAUCAAUAGGCACUAAUUGUUGGGAUUUUUGUUGAUCUAAGGCAUCAACUUGCCCUCACUUAGAAGGUUUACUUUAGAGAGCUAUAGCAGGAUUCCUACAGUUUACUUCCUCUGCUUCAUCCUACAGAGUAAAGAUUUACAGAGAAGGGGGACUAAGAAAUAAUAAAAAACCUGUCAACAAUAUUCUGCUUUUGAAAUGAAUAUGUAUACACAAGUUGUUUUACUUACAAUGUAACAGGACAUAGAGGUUUCAUCUGCUUCCUUUUCAUUGUCAAAAUGUAGCCAUGGAGUCCCGGUGUAACUAAGAGCUGGACUUUCCAAGAAUGUUAAUUCAGUAAGUUUGGAAAAUGUGUGAUUGUAGAAAAGCAGAGAGAGAUGUGUGUGAAUCAUUGUUACAAACUUGAAUAUUUCAUAUUUUGAUUUAUUUAAACUUAAUGAACCCCAGAAAGCACUUUUAGUGUUUACUUUUCCUCAUUUGACUCUAAUUAACCUUUCCCAUGAUUCAGAUGUCUGACAAAUGUGUAGGGCUGCAGGGCUAAGUGCUUUUUUCCAUGAUUGACUUUAAUUAAGCUUUCUCUAGGCUUGAAACCCUUGUAAACUCAGAGAACUUUAUUUUAAUUGCCUUCUGCCAGAUUUACUUAUGCUAGACAAAUAUUAUAAAUCAAAUACAACACUAUUAGAAGUAUGAUGAACUGACUUGCACAGCAGUAGUCUGCUAUGGUGAAAUGCAUUAAACUCACCAAAAGAGCUGUGAUGGGAGAAAAAAUGACUGAUUUCAUGAAGGUAGCUUCUGGAGCAUAAGCAGCUUUUCUUUUUCUGCACUGUAGUAUAUGAAAAUACCAAGGUUCAAAGUACUGUUAUUCUUCUCCAGUUUUGAUGGUAAUACAUCAUAUUCAUUCAUACUAGAAAUUAUUAAGUGGAUCCUCUGAGAGCUUAUUUUGUGCGUUGGACUGAUCAAUAGGUCUCUGUUGCAGCUGGUGGAAUGAGCCAGUUCAAUCUUAAUUAAGAGACUUUGUCACCAAAAUCUUGGAAUUUUUGCUCCCUGACUCUGUCCUAAAAGAGUAAUCAGGAGAACCAGACAAAAAGUCACCAAUGCUUGUACAAGUAAAUGCAGAUUUUAUUUUUCAAAAUACUGCUCAAAGAAACACAGUUCAAUGGCUGUUUGCAGAAAUAAAUUAAAGAUUAUCCAUAAAUUUUAUGUUCAGUGUAAGUUUUAUCC